CCUGAAAGAACUGUACUUUGCAGUGCUCACACAGAUUGUCUGAUGAAAAUGAGCAGUAAAACCUCUACAGGCUUGUAGCUCAGGUGGUUAGAGCGCACCCCUGAUAAGGGUGAGGUCGGUGGUUCAAGUCCACUCAGGCCUACCAAAUUUGCACCGCAAAUUUGAAGAGGUUUUAACUACAUGUUAUGGGGCUAUAGCUCAGCUGGGAGAGCGCCUGCUUUGCACGCAGGAGGUCUGCGGUUCGAUCCCGCAUAGCUCCACCAUCUCUGUAGUGAUUAAACAAAAAAUACUUCAGAGUGUACCUGCAAAGGUUCACUGCGAAGUUUUGCUCUUUAAAAAUCUGGAUCAAGCUGAAAAUUGAAACACUGAAUAGUCGAAAGAUUAUUCGUGAGUCUCUCAAAUUUUCGCAACACGAUGAUGAAUCGCAAGAAACAUCUUCGGGUUGUGAG
Molecule: unclassified non-coding RNA, 449 nt
Filed under: uncultured bacterium
Lineage: Bacteria
Description: 16S-23S ribosomal RNA intergenic spacer
Rfam family: Salmonella enterica Typhi npcRNA 44 (bases 331-441)
Source: RNAcentral